RNAcentral lists this ribosomal RNA (408 nucleotides) under uncultured bacterium. RNAcentral describes it as "partial 16S ribosomal RNA". It matches the Rfam family "Bacterial small subunit ribosomal RNA", at positions 28 to 526 of the family's 1533-position model. The record is from RNAcentral.
GACGAACGCUGGCGGCGUGCCUAAUACAUGCAAGUCGAGCGAAGCGGCGGUUGGGUGAGUAACGCCUGGGUAACCUGCCCUUCAGUCUGGGAUACCAUUUGGAAACAGAUGCUGAUACCGGAUACUAACGGAUGGACCUGCGAUGCAUUAGCUAGUUGGUAAGGUAACGGCUUACCAAGGCGAUGAUGCCUAGCCGAGUUGAGAGACUGAUCGGCCACACUGGGACUGAGACACGGCCCAAACUCCUACGGGAGGCAGCAGUAGGGAAUCUUCCACAAUGGACGAAAGUCUGAUGGAGCAACGCCGCGUGAGUGAAGAAGGUUUUCGGAUCGUAAAGCUCUGUUGUUGGGGAAGCGGUAAUCAACCAGAAAGUCACGGCUAACUACGUGCCAGCCGCCGCGGUAAUAC